GAUGAACGCUGGCGGCGUGCCUAAUACAUGCCAGUCGAACGGACAGACGCGGCGCUUGUUCCUCUCACGUUAGCGGAGGGCGGGUGAAUAACACGUGGAUAACCUCCCUAUCUGUCUGGGAAAAUUUCGGGAAUCCGGAGCAAAUCCCGGAUAAUAUAUUGAACCGCAUGGUUGGAUGGUAAAUGACGGUUUUUGUGGAACUUCUCGCUGGUUCUGCGCCGCGUGAGCUGGUUGGUAAGGUACAGGCUUACCAAGGCAAUGAUGCGUAACCGAGUUGAAAGGGUGAUCGGCCACACUGGAACUGAGACACGGUCCAGACUCCUACGGGAGGCAGCAGUAUGGAAUCUUCCGCAAUGGUCGAAAGCUUGACGGAGCAACGCCGCGUGAGUGAUGAAGGUCUUCGGAUCGUAAAACUCUGUUAUUAGGGAAGAACAAAUGUGUAAGUAACUAUGCACGUCUUGACGGUACCUAAUCAGAAAGCCACGGCUAACUACGUG
Molecule: ribosomal RNA, 497 nt
Filed under: uncultured bacterium
Lineage: Bacteria
Description: partial 16S ribosomal RNA
Rfam family: Bacterial small subunit ribosomal RNA
Source: RNAcentral